Molecule: ribosomal RNA, 301 nt
Filed under: uncultured bacterium
Lineage: Bacteria
Description: partial 16S ribosomal RNA
Rfam family: Bacterial small subunit ribosomal RNA
Source: RNAcentral
CAGUAGCCGCGGUAAUACAGAGGGUGCGAGCGUUAAUCGGAUUUACUGGGCGUAAAGCGUGCGUAGGCGGCUAAUUGAGUCGGAUGUGAAAUCCCCUAGCUUAACUUGGGAAUUGCAUUCGAUACUGGUUAGCUAGAGUGUGGGAGAGGAUGGUAGAAUUCCAGGUGUAGCGGUGAAAUGCGUAGAGAUCUGGAGGAAUACCGAUGGCGAAGGCAGCCAUCUGGCCUAACACUGACGCUGAGGUACGAAAGCAUGGGGAGCAAACAGGAUUAGAUACCCCAGUAGUCCCUGUCUCUUAUAA